Molecule: long non-coding RNA, 1445 nt
Organism: Oreochromis aureus
Lineage: Eukaryota; Metazoa; Chordata; Actinopteri; Cichliformes; Cichlidae
Source: Ensembl
GUAAACAGAAGUAAAGCAUUUUUGGGCUCCGAGGCAAAGCGUGGUGAUCAAACACCACGAUCAAUGACUUUGAAGAGAUCUAACACCUCUUAUAAAUGUCGUUCAUGCGAGAUGAACUGAAGCAAUGAAGAAAUUCAUUUCUGGAGCCAAUGGCCGCGUGUUUUCUCUCUUUAGAAGGAGAGAAGAAGAAAAAAGAGAACAGAGUAUAACAAAGGAAAGACUGCCUCUGGUUUCUUGCACGUUGCAGUGUUAACUUCUUGUUAGCUUUGACUGCACGGACGAGCAGUCGUGGGCCUGCAGGGGAGGAGUCAGUGGAAAAGACGAGAUGCUCUAAGAAGUUUCACAACUCUGUGUCUCGCGUCUCACAAGCAAACUUGUUGAAGUUUAACAUGAAUAAAACAGAAAUUACUCAGGCCUGAAACUUUAACCUGGAGGCUUCACGGUGCUCUCAUCAGUCUCAUCUUCCAUUUGUGUGCUUCAUGUUAUUUGAGCUAAACCCUAAUAUGUCAGACGCAACCCUUAAACUGAAAUCUUGACCGUAUUGGUAGCUAUCAGCCUCCUUUUUCAAAGGUCAGAGCGAUUUCACCCUUGAGCAAAUUCAAGUGAACAUUAGACGAGCGAAGGCUUCCUGUUCUUAGUGGCGUAGUUGAAAUGAUGCUUCCUGUCAGCAGACGUUAAGGUAAAGGCAGUCUCUUAAGUGUGACAUCACUGCCACUCGCUUGACUCGAAACCAAAGGCGAGGUUUAGAGUUUGGGGAACAAGUCCAGGAAGCUGUGUCAACCGAUAAGACAGAGAACUUAUGUAGCUUUAACAAAGACAGCUUUUUCUAUGUUAGCUUUGAAUUGAGGUAAGAGUUGGAAAUACGGUUUGGCGUGCGACGAUCUGCCGGCUGGUUUCACUGCACGGUGUGUGGCUGUACACACCCUGACUCCUGGACAUGGCAGGUCUUUGGGGUCUGAAGAUCCUGCUGUUCUGGGCCGGGAUCAUCGGUUUGGCCUACUCUCAAGUCCCCACAAAUGGCACCAAACAUGAGUUCCAAUAUAUUUAUGAUGUUAAAUAGUUUAUAUAAUUUACUUCUUAUUGUGUCGUUUUCAGACUUGUUUAAUUGCAGUUGUCCCCUGCUGUGCUUCAUGAUGUAGCAUGCAUCUCCCUCAGCCUCCUACUGUUUACAUGAUCUCUUCUCUUUAUAGAUAUAUACACCGUCCUCAAACACUUAUUAUGAAAUGACAGAAAUAUGUCUUGUUACUUAAAUUCAUGAACAGAGGCUUCCAUCUGGGUUAUCUGUGUCAGCAAUUUAAAUGCAAUCACCAAAAACAAAAAAAUAGUUAUGUUUUUGCAAAAUGUGUAAAAUGUAUUGUUAUUUGUGUUCAUUUAAUUGUAAGUUUACUGUGAAAAGAUGAAAUCCUUAUUUUCAUAUAGUUGCUGUUUUGCACAGAUAAUUUUCC